UGCGCGCACGCGCCGAAUCCCGUGAGGGAACCGGGGAACCACCACCUUGGGGUGAAUCGCACGUCGUCCGCCGUGCCGUCACGGCCGGUCGACGCGCGUAGGAGACCUUCCCGCUCCGAACCCGUCAGCUAACCCGGUAGGCGACGCGGAAGGAAAGG
RNAcentral lists this small RNA (158 nucleotides) under Streptomyces sp. RNAcentral's name for it is "c-di-AMP sequence". It matches the Rfam family "c-di-AMP riboswitch aptamer (ydaO/yuaA leader)". From Rfam's summary of the family: This family represents a conserved RNA structure found upstream of the ydaO and yuaA genes in Bacillus subtilis and related genes in other bacteria. The ydaO/yuaA element is thought to act as a genetic "off" switch for the ydaO and yuaA genes in its native state. It is believed that the element may be triggered during osmotic shock leading to activation of ydaO, a predicted amino acid transporter gene, and members of the yuaA-yubG operon which code for KtrA and KtrB K+ transporters. RNAcentral also lists the same sequence under 1 other name. The record is from RNAcentral. Lineage: Bacteria; Bacillati; Actinomycetota; Actinomycetes; Kitasatosporales; Streptomycetaceae.